GUUUCAAAACACAGGCUCUCCCUGUUUUGGAAAUGUGUCAUAUUCUCACCACUCCACAAGCAGUAAACCGUCGUACCGAUACGGCAGACAUGAGCGCUACCUAUAGCUUUCUCAUCGCAUCGGUAAACGAUCUCCGGAGAGAAAGCGGACGGACAGAUAGAUCGAACAACCAAUACACUGAUGCAACACACACAACACAACACAGAUUGGAAACAGCAGAUCAGUAGGGGAAAUAUUCUGUACCGACCGGCUGAUAGCAGGUAGUAUCCGUACACCAGCUAGGGAAUCCCCCAAACCAAACCGGAACGAAUGGCCCAAAAGUGUACCAGACGGCGUGACCCUUUACAACCCGACUGUUUAAAUAUUUGCAAAAUUUGUGUGACCUGUUGAUUUGUGUAUCGAGCCCUGAAGAUGGUCCAAUAGCCGGACCGAAACGUCGGCGAUGAUAGAAGAUUAAUCAACGCAAUUUAUUAGACUGAGAGCCGAAAAUUCCAAAGUCAACCAUCAUCCAGUCGAAACUUGUAAUCCAACAACAUGGCGGAAACACACACGUCUUUCUACACGAAA
Molecule: long non-coding RNA, 567 nt
Organism: Aedes albopictus (Asian tiger mosquito)
Lineage: Eukaryota; Metazoa; Arthropoda; Insecta; Diptera; Culicidae
Exons: 2
Source: RefSeq, a predicted model, not a curated record